This is a long non-coding RNA of Manis javanica (Malayan pangolin), 3185 nucleotides long. RefSeq lists it as uncharacterized. NCBI's taxonomy places the organism in Eukaryota, Metazoa, Chordata, Mammalia, Pholidota, Manidae. The record is from RefSeq and is a predicted model, not a curated record.
GGCUGCUCUGGCGAGCGUCGCAGGCCUGGGCGCGGAAGGGCGAGGCUCCCGGAGGAGAUCCCGCGGGCACUUCCUUCCGGCCUCCUCGUUCCUGUCCCCGCCCGCCCCAGCAGGAACAUCCUCCUACCCAGGGCUCAGCCCCUCUCCCCAAUCUGAAGGUGCCCACCACUUGGGAGCUCUGCCCCCGGAGCCUGGAGAUCCCAUGCCAAGUUAGCAUCCACCUGCUACACGGGUCCCUUUGCUCAGGUGAUGGGAAAAGAGCUUCUGUCCAGCAUCUGAGGAGAGGGCGUGAAAAAGAUUUCAGGUCGUCAGGGUGCCGUCCAGUUCAGCUGUGUCACAAGAUCUGGAAGUGUGGGUGAGAGCACCGCAGGAUAUUCACAUGCACGAACCGACCUAGUGGUGAAGAAACCAAACCCCCAGUCACACGGAGGCUGCCUACUUCUCAUCUCCACCCACCCCUCCCUCGGAGAUACAGGGGGCAUUUUGGCUUUCCGUGUGGCUUAUCAGAUUGGUAUACAAGGGCCAUGUGAUGCUCCACGGUGACAGAAAACAGGGCAUGAGGCCCCAACCCAGGCCAGCUUGAGGCCCAGCACAUAUUGUCCAGCCUCUAAAUGUACCUCAAAAAGGAAGCUGCACGUUUAAUUUUUUUUUUGCUCCAUAUUAAAGAACAAAACAUGGGAACUGGACAGGUCUCUCUGUAAACAGAAAACACAUGUUUUCUGAGAGAAUGGCCUCUUCCUUUCCUGAUUUCUUCUCCAUGGACAAAGGCCUCCUUAGACCUCCUGGCUCCAAGAGCAGGGAGGCCUCAGCCCAGGGCUGAGAGGAGGUGACUCUUUGCCCAAUGAAGGAGACAACACAUUCUUAAAUGGGGGCAGGAACGGGGUGUUAAUGGGUCCACCCAGCAGUGGGGUGGGCCUGGGAUAUAGUCCCAGGAAGGAAGCCCCCAUGGACCUGAACAGGGUUUGGGUAGGGGGAGACACAGUCUGCACAGUUUAUAUCUUCCAAGCACUUGCAAAUUAUCCUGGAUUCUACCUGAGCUACCUCCAGAUGAACGUGUGUCCUUGGAACCUGCUAGCCACAAACAGGGGCAGAGACCUCUAACUCAGAAGGGAGGCUGGGUACCGAUAUCUGCAAAAAGCAAGCACAUUGAGACUUGAGACUUAAUACCCACUGCUGUGUGACCUCGGGCUAGUUUCUUAACCUCUCUGAGCCUUAGGUUUCUCAUCCGUAAAGUGGGAAUAGCAAUAUGUGGUUGUUGAGGAUUGAGCAAGGUAAUGGGUAUAGCCCUGUCAGACACAGAGAAGAGCUUAAUAAGUGAAUGAAAUCAAGCUUUGUCUCGGUUUAAAUGCUCAACUCCUCCCACACUCCUAGAGUGGCUCACAAUCACUCUGCAAGAACCCCAAGGAGCCCCUCCACUUUGCCCGGCUUCUGCUGGGUACCCAACAAGUACCAGGGCUCAGCCACACCCAGACCUGCUGACACCUCUUCGGAAGCAGUCAUCUUGGGAAUGGAUCAUUCCUUUGAAACCCCCCAGCAGCCUGAUCUUUGUCCUCAAGGGGAUAUUUGAUCUCGGGAAAUAACCAGACAUCCUUUGGGCCAAGUCUGCGGAGUAGAUACAUGGAAGCCAAGCCAGCGCCCCUGUCUGGGGCCAGAAUGUGCCACCAUUGUAAAAUCAGGAGACCCUGUGGCUCCUGCUUCUGCAGGCAGUUUGGAAGGAACGUCUGGAGCCCUCGUCUGGACUGGCUGCUGCUGACAUCAGUGGGCGCAAGCGUGCCAGUGUGCGCGUGUGUGAAAACGGAUAUGGUUGCACACACCCAGCUUGGUCGAUGAACCAAACCAAAGCCAGACUAAUUAGCACAAGGUCGCCUUUCAUAUCAAGCCCACAAUUUGACUUUCAUGGAAAUCUUUAUGGGAUGAUUCUGAGUGUUUUUGAUACAGGCAGAUGUGUAAGAGUGAGGAUGUAAGCUGUCCUGGAAGAAUAUGGGACUUAGAGAUUGGAUUUCCACCCAGCUCCGUCCCUGAUUGGCUGCUUGGCCUCUUGCUGGUCACUGCAUGGCUGUAGCUCUGUUUUUCCCUCUGAACAAUGAGGAUGAUGACGCCUGUCCUUAAUAUGAAAAGCAAACGGGAAAAAAAUGGAUAUGAACAUGCCUCAAAGUCCUGACCUCAUAUCAAGAGCCUUGAAAACAUGGACAUCCUUUGAUCUAACACUCUGCUGAUGAGAAUUUAUUCUCGGGAAAUUAGCAUAGCCAUACAUAAAAGUCAGUAUAAAUAUGUUCCCAGCAGCAUUAUUUAUAAUAGCAAAAGCCCUGCAGAGAUUAUAUGUCUGACAAUAGUAGCAAAAGUUAUAACCCACCCACAGGGUAGGACUCUCCGCAGUUCUCUGGGGUUCUCCAGGCAGGAAAUACACAGGCCAUGCCCACGUGGUGGGUGUACCUCAACCUGUGCUGGGGACAUUGCUUGCUAAAAAAAAAAUAAAUAAAUUAGCAUUCACCAAGCUCUAUUCACAAGAGCGAAAGGAGCAACCCAAUCGUCCACCCACAGCCAAACGGGGAAGCAAACCACUGGUGUACGACGGGCCCUCACAGUACGAAGGGUAAGUUGUCAGUAGACCCAGUGACACAGAAGAAUGUCGGUUAUGCUGAGCAAGAGUUAAUACUCUGUGACCCCAUUUGUAUUAGAUGCAGGUAAAACAUCUACAGCGCUAGGAUCCGGUUAGGUGGUUGCCUGGGGCCUGGGAAGUGGGGCCCACGUGCGUGGAGGGCCCAGGGGCCGUCUUGCAGUGGUAUUUUCUCUCUUGCCUGUGGUGGUUACACAGCUGUGUGCACUGGUCAAAACUCAUCAAACAGUACAAGUGAAAGGGAUCUUACUGCGUGGAAACUAUGCUUCCAUAAGGUUGAUUUUAAAAAUUAAUUGGCAUUUAGAUUUUAUUUUCCAAAUCCUGUAGAGAUUAAUAUUUAAUAACAUAAAAUGCUCACAACAUAUUAAACACAAAAAUUCUGAAAUACACACACACACACACACACACACACACACACACAGUACUUAAUGGAAACUGUACCAGAAGGACUUUCAACAAAAUGUACCCUGUGAUUAUCUCAUGGGUAAUUUUUGUUUUCUUUUUUGUGCUUUCCUGUAUUUCCAAAUUUUCUGUAAGAAACACUUUUUAUAAACAAAUUAAAUAAAAA